RNAcentral lists this ribosomal RNA (406 nucleotides) under uncultured bacterium. RNAcentral's name for it is "partial 16S ribosomal RNA". It matches the Rfam family "Bacterial small subunit ribosomal RNA", at positions 30 to 526 of the family's 1533-position model. The record is from RNAcentral.
AUUGAACGCUGGCGGCAGGCCUAACACAUGCAAGUCGAACGAGUGGCGGACGGGUGAGUAAUGUCUGGGAAACUGCCUGAUGGAGGGGGAUAACUACUGGAAACGGUAGCUAAUACCGCAUACCAUCAGCUGUGCCCAGGUGGGAUUAGCUAGUUGGUGGGGUAACGGCUCACCAAGGCGACGAUCCCUAGCUGGUCUGAGAGGAUGACCAGCCGCACUGGAACUGAUAAACGGUCCAGAGGCCGAGGGGAGGCAGCAGGGGGGAAUAGUGCACAAUGGGCGCAAGCCUGAUGCAGCCAUGCCGCGUGUAUGAAGAAGGCCUUCGGGUUGUAAAGUACUAUCAGCGAGUAGGCGUUACCCGCAGAAGAAGCACCGGCUAACUCCGUGCCAGCAGCCGCGGUAAUUC